CUUGUAUGAAAACAUCUUUGUACGUAACAAAAAAAUGAAAGGAAGAAACGGAAAGGAACAAAAAAA
This 66-nucleotide small RNA is filed under the name Arabidopsis thaliana (thale cress). Its description in RNAcentral is "ATSL224510". The record is from RNAcentral. Lineage: Eukaryota; Viridiplantae; Streptophyta; Magnoliopsida; Brassicales; Brassicaceae.